This 253-nucleotide ribosomal RNA is filed under the name uncultured bacterium. Its description in RNAcentral is "partial 16S ribosomal RNA". It matches the Rfam family "Bacterial small subunit ribosomal RNA", at positions 524 to 776 of the family's 1533-position model. The record is from RNAcentral.
UACGUAGGGGGCAAGCGUUGUCCGGAAUCAUUGGGCGUAAAGCGCGUGUAGGCGGUUCAGUAAGUCUGCUGUGAAAGUCCAGGGCUCAACCCUGGGAUGCCGGUGGAUACUGCUGGGCUAGAGUACGGAAGAGGCGAGUGGAAUUCCCGGUGUAGCGGUGAAAUGCGCAGAUAUCGGGAGGAACACCAAUUGCGAAGGCAGCUCGCUGGGACGUCGCUGACGCUGAGACGCGAAAGCGUGGGGAGCAAACAGG